AAAAGAUGCAGUAUUCGAUAUCAUUUUAUAAUAGAAGAUUGAGUGAAAGAAAUAUAUGUUCUUUCAUUGGUAAGAAUAGAUUAUACUAACAAAAUAUUCCAUAUCUUGAAGUUACUACUUGAAUUAAAGGUUCUAAGAUUUGUACUAUUUGUUGGGGGGCUUACAAUGGGGGUUGAAUAGGUUGUUUUAGAAAACUUAACAAUCUUUUGUGGAAAAUAACUUACGCUAAAUAAAGAUCUAGUCAAUGUGAUGUUUCAAAACUCGGAAUCGUAUAUAGUGAUUUGAUUUUAUCCCUAUACCUACGUCUGCUCUUCAAACUAAUAGCAUUAAGUUGGGCUGGAUUGCAUUAUUAAUUUGCUUAGAAAGUCAUAAUUAGCAAACAUUUAUCCAAUCACAUAAUAGAUCACAUUACUAAGACUUAGGUGUUGCUCUUACUCUUGUACACUUAAUCUUUAGUACAAUUAUUAAAACAUCAUGAAUACAAUACUUAGAAAAACAAUCCAAAGAGAACGUAGGGGCCUGAAAUAUUAUCCCACAACCGGGAUGAGACUGUGGCUCACAACCGGGAUCAUGCUUGGGAUCAUCAUCCCGAUCCUCCUCAAAUCUUUCACCACUAGGCUCAAUUUCUUCAAACUCUUCAUCUCCUUCUUCUCGCUCAUCCUCAGCUUCAAAUGCUGGCUCGUCUUCGGGAAAUCUAGGGGCUUGAAAUAUUAUCCCAUAAUCGAGAUGAGACUAUGUCUCGUCAAGUUCUACCCCCUAAGACCCGAUUAGUAAACUAAUACACCUUAAGGCUGCCUAUGCACAACAUGAGUCAGAGGACUUAUCUUGGCCUCAGAUUCCACCUGCAUAUUAGCACAGAUCAAAUAGGCAUCCAAGCAAUCACAUCACUGAUCGAAGCAUCGAUCAGAUCGACCUAGUCGAUUACACGCCAAAAAGACCACUCACAGUCAUUUCCAUUCAAUUAAUUAAUCCACAAGCAACGAUCAAUCGACCUAGUCGAUUACGUAUCAACAAGACCACUUCCGGUCAUUUCAACUAUUACAACUCAAUUCCC
This 1054-nucleotide long non-coding RNA is filed under the name Eucalyptus grandis. RNAcentral describes it as "long non-coding RNA (EGRA_LNC003013)". The record is from RNAcentral. Lineage: Eukaryota; Viridiplantae; Streptophyta; Magnoliopsida; Myrtales; Myrtaceae.